Molecule: ribosomal RNA, 389 nt
Filed under: Bacillus sp. (in: firmicutes)
Lineage: Bacteria; Bacillati; Bacillota; Bacilli; Caryophanales; Bacillaceae
Description: bacterial SSU rRNA
Rfam family: Bacterial small subunit ribosomal RNA
Source: RNAcentral
GCGCGCGCAGGCGGUUUCUUAAGUCUGAUGUGAAAGCCCACGGCUCAACCGUGGAGGGUCAUUGGAAACUGGGGAACUUGAGUGCAGAAGAGAAAAGCGGAAUUCCACGUGUAGCGGUGAAAUGCGUAGAGAUGUGGAGGAACACCAGUGGCGAAGGCGGCUUUUUGGUCUGUAACUGACGCUGAGGCGCGAAAGCGUGGGGAGCAAACAGGAUUAGAUACCCUGGUAGUCCACGCCGUAAACGAUGAGUGCUAAGUGUUAGAGGGUUUCCGCCCUUUAGUGCUGCAGCUAACGCAUUAAGCACUCCGCCUGGGGAGUACGGUCGCAAGACUGAAACUCAAAGGAAUUGACGGGGGCCCGCACAAGCGGUGGAGCAUGUGGUUUAAUUC